UUUUUGUUCUCACACAUUUUCCCCUUUUCCUCUUUUUCUAGCAUUCCAAGUUGUAAAUGUGUUGCAUUUUAAUUAGAACACAAGGGUGGCGCUCUUGGGGCCCAACGUAUUUUCCUAUUUCUCUUGUCUCACUACGCCUUCCAA
Molecule: non-coding RNA, 144 nt
Organism: Caenorhabditis elegans
Lineage: Eukaryota; Metazoa; Nematoda; Chromadorea; Rhabditida; Rhabditidae
Source: Ensembl